This 527-nucleotide ribosomal RNA is filed under the name uncultured bacterium. RNAcentral's name for it is "bacterial SSU rRNA". It matches the Rfam family "Bacterial small subunit ribosomal RNA", at positions 366 to 886 of the family's 1533-position model. The record is from RNAcentral.
GGACAAUGGGCGCAAGCCUGAUCCAGCAAUGCCGCGUGCAGGAUGAAGGCCUUCGGGUUGUAAACUGCUUUUGUACGGAACGAAAAGCCCUGGGUUAAUACCCUGGGGUCAUGACGGUACCGUAAGAAUAAGCACCGGCUAACUACGUGCCAGCAGCCGCGGUAAUACGUAGGGUGCAAGCGUUAAUCGGAAUUACUGGGCGUAAAGCGUGCGCAGGCGGUUUUGUAAGACAGAGGUGAAAUCCCCGGGCUCAACCUGGGAACUGCCUUUGUGACUGCAAGGCUAGAGUACGGCAGAGGGGGAUGGAAUUCCGCGUGUAGCAGUGAAAUGCGUAGAUAUGCGGAGGAACACCGAUGGCGAAGGCAAUCCCCUGGGCCUGUACUGACGCUCAUGCACGAAAGCGUGGGGAGCAAACAGGAUUAGAUACCCUGGUAGUCCACGCCCUAAACGAUGUCAACUGGUUGUUGGGUCUUAACUGACUCAGUAACGAAGCUAACGCGUGAAGUUGACCGCCUGGGGAGUACGGC